CAACUGCUGGGAUUACUGGCGCGUGCCACCAGCCUCGCUAAACUGUCUGAAAACAAUUCACUCCGCCCAUUCUCCUCCUUGCCAGCCUACAGCUUAGGGCCAAGCCCAGCCAAGCCUGCUGAGCCCACGAGGAUCAGUCAACUUGCUGAAGCAUGAAUGAGAAUACAUGGUUGUUAGUGUAGGUCACUGGACUUGGAGGUGGCCUGCUAUACAUCAACAGCUGACAGGAUGCUAGGUGAAGAAGAGCCUCCCAGAGGGCAGAGCCAGGCAUUAUGGGAAACAGAGGACAUCCCUCCUGGAAAGCCAGACUGACUGCCAGAGAACUGUGUCUGUGUAGUCCUGAGCUUUGACUUAUACUGGCACAGAUAUAAUGAAUGGCUGGGGCUGAUGUAGCCAUUUCAACCAUGGGAUAAGCAAAGAAAGGGCAGCCUACACAGAAUGAAGCAGUGUGGAUUACAGGAGCCCAAAUCUCAGAGGAUUGCAUGGAACAAACCACCAGACAAACUCUGAACUUCCUGCCUCCAACUUCUAACUUGUGAAUGUUACCGAUAGCUACCAUCUCUUACUCACAGAUGAACCUAACUUGAAUACAGCACCCAGGCAGUGACACUGCACAGUCCUUAAGCUAAGUAAGGGGGAGAGGACUCUCUUCUGGAGCUGUUACUAUUGGCAGACAAAGUGCACCCUGACCAGCACCAACUCCAAACACAGUCCUCAGGAAAACACCCCUUCUACAUCCACUCCUGGAUCAAAUCUUGUUAUAACUGAGUGAUGGAACGUCUGCUCAAACCAAUACUCCCCGUCCACCACAACUGCCAGAAGAAUAACUCGCCACAAAUUGUUGGUUCUUGACAUCGCUCACUUCUCUAACUGUGUUUUGCAUGAAGAAAACAGAUGAGUAGCAGAUUGCAUACCUUAGCUGCAAGGGAAUCCAGAGAUUUUUUUUUUUACUUCUAACAAAAGCAAAC
RNAcentral lists this long non-coding RNA (968 nucleotides) under Cricetulus griseus (Chinese hamster). RNAcentral describes it as "lncRNA (ENSCGRG00015041423.1)". The record is from RNAcentral. Lineage: Eukaryota; Metazoa; Chordata; Mammalia; Rodentia; Cricetidae.